Molecule: ribosomal RNA, 404 nt
Filed under: uncultured microorganism
Description: bacterial SSU rRNA
Rfam family: Bacterial small subunit ribosomal RNA
Source: RNAcentral
GAGUUUGAUCGUGGCUCAGAUUGAACGCUGGCGGCAUGCCUUACACAUGCAAGUCGAACGGCAGCAUGAUCUAGCUUGCUAGAUUGAUGGCGAGUGGCGAACGGGUGAGUAAUACAUCGGAACGUGCCCUGUAGUGGGGGAUAACUAGUCGAAAGAUUAGCUAAUACCGCAUACGACCUGAGGGUGAAAGUGGGGGACCGCAAGGCCUCAUGCUAUAGGAGCGGCCGAUGUCUGAUUAGCUAGUUGGUGGGGUAAAGGCCCACCAAGGCGACGAUCAGUAGCUGGUCUGAGAGGACGAUCAGCCACACUGGGACUGAGACACGGCCCAGACUCCUACGGGAGGCAGCAGUGGGGAAUUUGGACAAUGGGCGAAAGCCUGAUCCAGCAAUGCCGCGUGUGUGAAG